AUACGGAGGACGCGAGCGUUAUCCGGAUUCAUUGGGUUUAAAGGGUGCGCAGGCGGCCGUGCAAGUCAGCGGUGAAAGCCCGGGGCUCAACCCCGGAAGUGCCGUUGAUACUGCAUGGCUGGAAUGCGGUCGAGGCGGGCGGAACGUGGCGGGUAGCGGUGAAAUGCGUAGAUAUGUCACAGAACGCCGAUAGCGGAGGCAGCUCGCCAGGCCUGCAUUGACGCUCGGGCACGAAAGCGUGGGGAUCGAACAGGAUUAGAUACCCUGGUAGUCCACGCCGUAAACGAUGGGCGCUCGUCGUCGGCGGCAGACAGUCGGCGGCCAAGCGAAGGCGAUAAGCGCCCCACCUGGGGAGUACGGUCGCAAGGCUGAAACUCAAAUGAAUUGACGGGG
This 393-nucleotide ribosomal RNA is filed under the name uncultured bacterium. Its description in RNAcentral is "partial 16S ribosomal RNA". It matches the Rfam family "Bacterial small subunit ribosomal RNA", at positions 523 to 918 of the family's 1533-position model. The record is from RNAcentral.